This 643-nucleotide ribosomal RNA is filed under the name uncultured bacterium. RNAcentral describes it as "bacterial SSU rRNA". It matches the Rfam family "Bacterial small subunit ribosomal RNA", at positions 232 to 885 of the family's 1533-position model. The record is from RNAcentral.
CGCGGCCUAUCAGCUUGUUGGUGGGGUAGUGGCUUACCAAGGCUUUGACGGGUAGCCGGCCUGAGAGGGCGACCGGCCACACUGGGACUGAGACACGGCCCAGACUCCUACGGGAGGCAGCAGUGGGGAAUAUUGCACAAUGGGCGAAAGCCUGAUGCAGCGACGCCGCGUGAGGGAUGACGGCCUUCGGGUUGUAAACCUCUUUCAGCAGGGAAGAAGCUUUUGUGACGGUACCUGCAGAAGAAGCACCGGCUAACUACGUGCCAGCAGCCGCGGUAAUACGUAGGGUGCGAGCGUUGUCCGGAAUUAUUGGGCGUAAAGAGCUUGUAGGCGGUUUGUCGCGUCUGCUGUGAAAAUUCAGGGCUUAACCCUGGACGUGCAGUGGGUACGGGCAGACUAGAGUAUGGUAGGGGAGACUGGAAUUCCUGGCGUAGCGGUGGAAUGCGCAGAUAUCAGGAGGAACACCGAUGGCGAAGGCAGGUCUCUGGGCCAUUACUGACGCUGAGAAGCGAAAGCAUGGGGAGCGAACAGGAUUAGAUACCCUGGUAGUCCAUGCCGUAAACGUUGGGCGCUAGGCGUGGGUCUCAUUCCACGAGAUCCGUGUCGCAGCUAACGCAUUAAGCGCCCCGCCUGGGGAGUACGG